RNAcentral lists this ribosomal RNA (335 nucleotides) under uncultured bacterium. Its description in RNAcentral is "partial 16S ribosomal RNA". It matches the Rfam family "Bacterial small subunit ribosomal RNA", at positions 338 to 666 of the family's 1533-position model. The record is from RNAcentral.
CCUACGGGAGGCAGCAGUAGGGAAUUUUCGUCAAUGGGCGCAAGCCUGAACGAGCAAUGCCGCGUGAACGAGGAAGGUCUUCGGAUCGUAAAGUUCUGUUUAAGGGGAAAAAGAGCGGAGAGAGGAAAUGGUCUCCGAUUGAUAUUACCCUUCGAGGAAGUCACGGCUAACUACGUGCCAGCAGCUGCGGUAAUACGUAGGUGGCGAGCGUUAUCCGGAUUGAUUGGGCGUAAGGGGUGCGUAGGCGGCCUGUUAAGUCUGGAGUGAAAGGGAGCGGCUCAACCGGUACAGGCAAUGGAAACUGGAGGGCUAGAGAGCAGGAGAGGUAGGUGGAA